UCAAUUUUAAUANUUUUUAUGGUUUCAUUUAACUAUUAAAGCAGACCUCUCGACCAAUCACUUUGCGUGCACUAUCUUUAUCAUUCUAUGAUUCACAUAUUCCACUUAAGAUGUGGCCUUAAUAAUUGAAGGUUCUAAUGUGUUUUUGCUUGUUUUCCCACUUUUUAAAAAAGCGUCAUCAAGUCUAACUGUCUCAAAAGUUGAAAAAAAAAUCCAAGACGACAACUCCAGACCAUAAAAUUUCUCACCAGGAGAGUGCGCAUGCGUGGUUUCCAUAGUGAUCAAGCACGUGCAUUCAUUCGAGUCANAUAAGAAAACCUGAAUAAACCAGCUAUCAUCCAUUCAUAUUCAGGGGUCUAGAAGAAGAAUACCUGACUUGGAUCUUAACUUUGAGUAUUCAAGCAAAUUUACUGACAUCGUAAGGCUGUGCNGCCUGUGACGCAGGUGGCAUAGCUUUAGACAUCUCACAAUCGCAAGAUAGCAUCAAAGAUAAAUGAAAGCAGCGAAAAAUCAGAGUUCCGCAUCUAUGUGGUCAACAACUUGGCUAUACCUGCUUGAGGCAGUGAUUAUAGUUGUAGUAAACGUUACUACAAUCGCUAUUUUCAUAACUACUCGACGACUUAGAUGUCGAAAGUACGUUCUAAUCGUAAACAUGGCGUUUGCAGAUUUGUUCGUUGGUUGUAUAACACUCCCCUGUUACGUCUAUUGGAGGGUCAGGCUACUGCAAACCCAAGAUGAAACUUCAGACAGUUUUCUAUUUUUUUUCCAUUUUGCUGACAUCUUCUUUGGAACUGCAUCUGUCUUUAGUUUAACAUCUAUGGCUAUUGAGCGGGCGCAUGCGACAUUUUUUCCAUUCAAACACGAGGCGUUGCGGUUUUCUUCAUAUAGAAUAGGAGUUACUUUGGUGUGGCUGGCGGCGCUAACCAAUACACUCCUGUCUCUAACAGCCUUAAAAAAACUACCAAGACUUUAUAGCAUAGCUUUUCAACUCUCCUUAUCUCUUGGAAUUGUCUCUAUUGCAUAUUUGCUUAUUUGGAUAAAAGUCACUCGCAACAGAAACGCUGCAAUUGGAAGUAAUAAAAAGUUAACAGUUACUCUUGGUAUCGUUACUAUUACAAGCUUCGUAGCAUUGAUGCCUUUAUUGGUGACUAGUUUGUACGGUGUUUUUUGUCCCACCUGUUUAGAUAAAGUACAAUGGUCACUCUCAUCUAUAGCUACAUUUUUCUAUUGUGGAAACUCGGGUGUUAACUUUUUUGUAUAUGCCUUUCGGUUACGUGAUUUCCGAGCUGAACUAUAUCGUAGAUUUAGCUGCUGCAAGAGCUGCUCACGCCGACAGGAUGGAAGAUUCGAGCUUCAACAAAACCUCAAUUCAACAUAGCUGUUUAGACUGUUAAGUGAAUAUGGAAGUGUGUAUUCCUUCGAGUAUAAUAUGUAAAGUUUGCUGUACUUGUAUUACGCCUGUAUUGAAUGCUGCUCUCAUCUAUUCAAUCCUUCAUUUCCUAUGGGCACUUCCCGAGUCUUUCCUGAUAUUCAAUGUAAAAAAAAAAAUCAAAGUGAUUCAUAUUAUUAUUACUUCACUUUCUAUUGUUUUUAUUUUCCUGGUAUAGUGAAACUUGACUUAUCUCAUCUUUCUAUGAGACCGUCGUCAGAUGAUAAGAAUCUUUGAAAAACAUUUUUAAAGUGGAAGCUCGUAACAAAAGAUUAUAAAAAACACUUGGGGAAACCUAGUUAUUGUAGCAUCAGAGAGUUAUCUAUUUGUGAAAGCAAGAUCAAUUUACUUAUACUGCUAGAGGCGAAAUGUGAAUAAAAUCUAAUAUUUUUUUAUCAUCAUGCCUUUCCAUUAAUGUCUUAACAUCCUUAAGAAUUCUUGGCUAAUGCUUCAUUAUUAAUUCAAAUCCAAGUGUAGUAGGAAGUAUUUCAAGUUUUUUUUAAAGAAAUGUAUUAAAAUUGGU
Molecule: long non-coding RNA, 1952 nt
Filed under: Exaiptasia diaphana
Lineage: Eukaryota; Metazoa; Cnidaria; Anthozoa; Actiniaria; Aiptasiidae
Description: uncharacterized LOC110233279
Source: RNAcentral